CGGUGCUGCGCGGGAGCGUGUAAGAGCUUCCCUCCGAGCCGUCGGCCGCCAUGCGGAGGGCCGCGCCGCCGCCGUCCUUCAGCAGCUCGGAGGGCGAAGAGCCGCUCAGCCCUUCCAGCUGCUCCUUCUCCUCUUCCGGGCGCGGCUUCCGCGAGGAAGAGGAGGAGGAGGAGGAGAGGCCCGGUUCGCUCUCGAAUACGGCCUCCCGUUGGGGAGUGAGCAGGAAGGAUGAUGACUCUGAAAUAACAGAAGCAAAUGAGCGCUCGCCUUUGAAAGAUCAUCUUUCACCAUGGGAAGAAUGGUUCAUUGGAAAAGAGAAGGAACUACGUGCCCACUUACAAGCUAGAGCUGCAGAGGAGAUGAAUAUACAACUUGAGAAAAUGAAGGAAAAGGAAGAAUUUGAGAGAAGGAAAAGGACAGCUGAAAAGAAGCUCAGAGAAUGGAUGGAAAAAAAAAGAGAAGAGGAAAAGAGGGAAAGAGAACGAAAAUUGAGCAAAGAAAUGGCAGAGAAAGCCACAAAGGAACUAGAAAAAAUGCAGUUACAAGAAAAGGCCGAAGUGAAGUAUAAUGAGUGGUUAAAGAAGAAGAGAGCUGAAGAGUCAGAAAAGAGGAAGAAAGAGAAGGAAAAAGAAAAAGAAAGGCAGGCUGAGCUGCAAAAGAAGAAAGAGAGAGCAGAGAAGAUCUUUAAUGAAUGGCUACAUAAUGCUAGAAAUAAACCACGCCCUGUAUUAAAUGGUUAUGGCUUUCCACAUGGGAAGUCUGCAGGGCGUCCUGAUGGGAAUUCAUAUCCAGCUCCAGCAUAUUGCAACCCCAUUCCUUGGAAACCAGUACACAUUCCUCCUCCAAAGGAAGAAAGUGCUCUUACCAUGAAGAACAGGCUGGGUUUGCUGGAAGAAGCCAGAUGAUGGUUACAUGGUAAUGCAGUUUGCAUCACAGAAGUCCUAUCAUACUGGAAAAUAUAGUCAUGGAGACAUUUGGCAGAGCACAGAAAUGCGACUGAGGCAGACUUCAGGAGCCAACUAAAGAAGUGGAAGGCUUCUGUUAAGCUGGUACUCCUGCAGAACUCAGCUUCUGGAAUGGACUGUUGCAAACCUUGAAAGGCUGAAAGUGGAUACUCUUUUGUGAGAGUCGCAUUGUGCCAGCCCUCCAACUCUGCACGUUUGUGAAAUGAAGCUCCUGAACCAGAGAUGACAACUGAUUGACUAGUGGCAUUCUUUUUAGACCCACUCACCAGCCAGUUACGCCAGAAAGCUGUCUGAAUACCUUUUUCUUGCUUGCUGUGGAGAUGUGAUGAAGAUGCACUCCACCUCAGCUCUCUGAGAUUAGGCCCCCUUACAAGCUGAUGGUGGAUCACUGUGUCAAACUGCAUUACUUGAGCACACUGAUCUUGUGAGGAAGCCAGGACAUCAUCCUGGAGGCUGCAGCUUGUGGUCUGUGAGACCCUGAGAUUUUGGACCUCCUCCUGGGGCCUCUUCUCUCCUAAGGAGCAUAAGCCCAGCAGCUCUGCAGGGGAAAUCAUGCAUUGGAAAACCAUCAGUUGGACUCCUCUGGUGUUGCAGUUGAAGAUGUGGACUGGUUGCAAAGAAUCCAACGAGAAGCAUGGAGUAUAAUAAGCGGUCUCAAAUAUGACCAAAGAGCUGCAGUGUGUGGCCUUGACACAGCCACUCCUGCCUCUCCAGGAGAGGGAGAGGGGCAUCUGCCAGCACCUCCAAAGGGCUGCCACGUCAACCUGCCUGUGAGGCCUCUGGAGCCCAACUGAAGGACUGCUGGGCUGUGAGCAAGCUCUUCAGUGCUUUCUAUGAAAAUCUCUUGAUGUUAAGACUGGAAAAGUGACUGCAAAAUCUCCACAAGAUGAUUCAAGCCUUGAAGCCAAGGUCACAGUCUCAUCCUGGAGCAUCACUGGAAAGCUGCACUUAAAAGAGAGGUCCUGGAGAUCCAGGUCUCAUUGCUUUAGCCUCAGUUCUCAUGAAUGAAAUGUUCAACUUACCACUAAAAAUUUGAUAUUAUGCAGGAUGGAGAUUAAAAAAAACCACUCUCUUUCCAUUUUUUUAAUUUGAAUUCAUUCAAAUCAGCAUUUUCAAAAUGUUUUGAAUUUUCAGGGCAACAUGUUCUGCUUUCCCUGAGAAACUCUUAUUUGUUGAAUAUCAUGAUAUUUAUGAAGGAUCUCACUCACUCAAAACUUGCUGUUUAAAUCCUUCUUUUGAAUGCUUUUUCCUCUAUACAGCUGGGCAUGCAAACUAGAUGAGGUCAAACGUUUGAGUUUGCUUCGAUUCUGCUGUCUGGACUUUUGUGGAUGUUUGCCUGAAUCAAACUGUAAGCAAUUCCAAAAAAGCGUCUGACUCUGUGAAGCGUAGUGUGCCUUCAUCUGCUUCUUGACCCACAGUCUGUCAGAAUAUGGCUGCUUUCUCAGUUUUUGUUGGGUGUCUUCCAGCCCUACUGUAUUUUCCAUUUCACCUCCUUUAUUAGUGUGACUAAGCACCUCUUGAGGGUUACUCUGACAUGGUUGGUUUGCUUGAGUUGAUAAUUUCUGAGAGUUAUACAGCUGGACUUGUGUUUUUAAGUUUCUCAUUACCCCAUAAUUUUUUAUUUUUUAAUUUUUUUGCCUUGGAAUGGCUCAAGGAAAUGCACGCAAACUCAAAUCUGCAUGUGGUUUUACUUGGAAGGCUUAAUGAGAGAUGAUGACCUAUGUGUUUCUAGACUGUUUCUACAACAAGAAAGUUAUUUUGAAUUCUGUACGGAACUUCUCUCACAUAUUCAAACAUGAAGAUAUUGAGCAGCUACUUUUUCAGCUAGAAAACAGUGCAUCUGAGCAGUUGCAGAACAUUGUAUUGACAAACUUUCUUCUUCUUGCUCACCACAUUCUCUUUUUACGAAGGAAUGACCUUGGCCCCAAAAGUUAGUCCCAUAUUUCCCUCUGGCCUUUCAAGGCAUGUUACAAAUCAUCCUUUGAUGAUUUGAUGCAGCCUUUAUGAUUUUUGCUAACAAUUAAACUCCACAAAAUUAAUGUGUUGGCUUUUAUGGACAGUAUCCGGGUUGAAGAGCAAGGCAGGCUACAAAGAGAAGGGAAAACCCAAGAGUUGAGGCAGGUAACUGUGGGAAGUAUGGCUCUGCUGCCUCAGCAUGGGCUGGGUGCUUCAGGCAUGACUAGCUUUGAUCCUGGGCUCUCGUGGUUGCCUGGCUUUGCUCACAUGCCGAUGUCAGUAGGAUUACAAGAGACGUUAAAUGGGAUGAGGGUUUGCUGUAUUGCACCUUUGGUCUGUACCCACUGCUGGGGACCACAUGAACAAUGUGGCUGUGGGCGGCUGGAGUCACUGCUCUGAGUCAUGCCACUCAGUGGACUUGAGUUAGCAUCUCACUGGAAGACACUUCAGUUGAAAAUAAAAUAAAGUCAAGCACAGGAAUCUAGUGUCUCAUCUCUCCCAUGUGCUAGGACCACCUGCCUCUAACUAAACAUGUCUG
Molecule: RNA transcript, 3459 nt
Organism: Centrocercus urophasianus (Greater sage-grouse)
Lineage: Eukaryota; Metazoa; Chordata; Aves; Galliformes; Phasianidae
Gene: CCDC34
Gene name: coiled-coil domain containing 34
Exons: 13
Source: RefSeq, a predicted model, not a curated record